AUUAGACGAAUCAUCUGGAAAGAUGAAUCAAAGAAGGUAAUAAUCCUGUAGUCGAAAAUGUUGUCUCUCUUGAGUGGAUCCUGAGUACGACGGAGCACGUGAAAUUCCGUCGGAAUCUGGGAGGACCAUCUCCUAAGGCUAAAUACUCUCUAGUGACCGAUAGUGAACCAGUACCGUGAGGGAAAGGUGAAAAGCACCCCGGAAGGGGAGUGAAAUAGAACCUGAAACCGUGUGCUUACAAGUAGUCAGAGCCCGUUAAUGGGUGAUGGCGUGCCUUUUGUAGAAUGAACCGGCGAGUUACGAUUUGAUGCAAGGUUAAGCAGUAAAUGUGGAGCCGUAGCGAAAGCGAGUCUGAAUAGGGCGUUUAGUAUUUGGUCGUAGACCCGAAACCAGGUGAUCUACCCUUGGUCAGGUUGAAGUUCAGGUAACACUGAAUGGAGGACCGAACCGACUUACGUUGAAAAGUGAGCGGAUGAACUGAGGGUAGCGGAGAAAUUCCAAUCGAACCUGGAGAUAGCUGGUUCUCUCCGAAAUAGCUUUAGGGCUAGCCUCAAGUGAUGAUUAUUGGAGGUAGAGCACUGUUUGGACGAGGGGCCCCUCUCGGGUUACCGAAUUCAGACAAACUCCGAAUGCCAAUUAAUUUAACUUGGGAGU
Molecule: ribosomal RNA, 654 nt
Filed under: Staphylococcus aureus
Lineage: Bacteria; Bacillati; Bacillota; Bacilli; Caryophanales; Staphylococcaceae
Description: partial 23S ribosomal RNA
Rfam family: Bacterial large subunit ribosomal RNA
Source: RNAcentral